Molecule: ribosomal RNA, 319 nt
Filed under: uncultured eukaryote
Lineage: Eukaryota
Description: partial 18S ribosomal RNA
Rfam family: Eukaryotic small subunit ribosomal RNA
Source: RNAcentral
CCCUUAGAUGUUCUGGGCUGCACGCGUGCUACAAUGAAGCGUCCAACAAGAUGCGAAGCCGAAAGGCUCAGCGGAUCUUUGAAGUCGUUUCGUGACCGGGACAGUUGAUUGCAAUUAUUCGACUCGAACGAGGAAUUCCUUGUAAUCGCGAUUCAUCAUAUCGCGCUGAAUACGUCCCUGCCCUUUGUACACACCGCCCGUCGCUCCUACCGAUUGAGCGAUCCGGUGAAUUAUUUGGAGUGUCCACGCAAGCCAAUCCGUUUACGUGGGUGCGAAAUUUUGUAAACCUUAUCGCUUAGAGGAAGGAAAAGUCAUAACA